This is a small nuclear RNA of Cynocephalus volans (Philippine flying lemur), 108 nucleotides long. Lineage: Eukaryota; Metazoa; Chordata; Mammalia; Dermoptera; Cynocephalidae. The record is from RefSeq and is a predicted model, not a curated record.
GUGCUCACUUCUGCAGUACAUGUACUAAAAACUGGAACAAUACAAAGAAGAUUAGCGUGGCCCCUGCUCAAGGAUGACACAAAAAUUUGUGAAGCAUUCCACAUUUUU